Molecule: ribosomal RNA, 322 nt
Filed under: marine Metazoa environmental sample
Lineage: Eukaryota; Metazoa
Description: SSU rRNA
Rfam family: Eukaryotic small subunit ribosomal RNA
Source: RNAcentral
AGCUCCAAUAGCGUAUAUUAAAGUUGCUGCAGUUAAAAAGCUCGUAGUUGGAUCUCGGGGUACCUGGUCUAGCCGGUAUAGCUCACGCUAAAACUGGUCUGACCCCCCAACGUGAGGUAUUCGUCUCCGGGUGCACUUCAUUGGGUGCUCGUGAGGGGCCUCGUAGUUACUGUGAAAAAAUUAGAGUGUUCAAAGCAGGCUCAUAUGUUCGGAUAGUCGUGCAUGGAAUAACUGAAUACGUGACUGGCGCUUUUCAGUUGGUCUCGGCGACUGGUCAAAUGAUUAAGAGGGACUGCGAAAGCAUUUGCCAAGAAUGUCUUCA